Molecule: ribosomal RNA, 163 nt
Filed under: Nimbospora sp.
Lineage: Eukaryota; Fungi; Ascomycota; Sordariomycetes; Microascales; Halosphaeriaceae
Description: partial large subunit ribosomal RNA
Rfam family: Eukaryotic large subunit ribosomal RNA
Source: RNAcentral
CGGCAACAGCUCAAAUUUGAAAUCUGGCGCUCUUGGGCGUCCGAGUUGUAAUUUGCAGAGGAUGCUUUUGGCGACGUGCCUUCCGAGUUCCCUGGAACGGGACGCCAGAGAGGGUGAGAGCCCCGUACGGUUGGUUACCGAGCCGCUGUAAAGCUCCCUCGAC